This 470-nucleotide long non-coding RNA is filed under the name Oryza brachyantha (malo sina). RNAcentral describes it as "long non-coding RNA (OBRA_LNC003516)". Lineage: Eukaryota; Viridiplantae; Streptophyta; Magnoliopsida; Poales; Poaceae. The record is from RNAcentral.
AGCCAGCAGAAUAUUAGUCCGAACUGGAUUUUAUCCUGCAAAUUUUCGUCUGUUACAUUUCCCAAAACUCUACCGGUUUUGAUAGAAGUUUUCUUCGCGUUACGAACAUUCAGACAGUCUUUGAAAGACAUCCCAUUCUCUUCUUUAAAACUCUCCAAAUGACUAACCACAUUUGGGAAACAUUUCACAACGUCCAUGUAGUGAUGGUGCCAAGUAGCUCUCUUAUAAGAACUAUACAAAUCAUCAAGUUCAUCACUAUCUACGCCCCCAGAACUGUUGUACAUCCUAAAUAGGUAAUCAGAUGGAUUGUGUCCCUAUCACAGUACUCCAAUAACUGUUUAUAGGAUAAACUCCCUAAGCAAGCAUCUGGUGGAAAUUUAGUAUUCCCGUAAAACUCAUCCUCUUCAUCUAGGAAAUCCCACCAUACGUCGAACUUCAAUCCUUCAACGAUUUUGAUAAGAACUCGGCGG